UACCAAUCUUCUUCACAGCAUCACCAACAGUGGCACCCUUGGCAUUGUUGAGGAAGGAGACAAGAUUGUCAGCUGGAUGAGAAACAAUAGCACAAAAAACACCAGCAACAUAACCACCAGCAAAGCUCACUCCAAGCUGGAGAGAUUUGCUGCACUCAUCUUUCGGAACAGGCAUGGCAUACUUAUAAAUCAUCUCCACAAUAGUCUCAAAAGAUGCAAA
This 220-nucleotide unclassified non-coding RNA is filed under the name Hevea brasiliensis (rubber tree). Lineage: Eukaryota; Viridiplantae; Streptophyta; Magnoliopsida; Malpighiales; Euphorbiaceae. The record is from RNAcentral.